GUCUACGGCCAUGCCACCCUGAACAAGUCCCAUCCUUUCUGAUCUCAGAAGCUAAGCAGGGUGGGGCCUGGUUAGUACUGGUAUGGGAGACCACGUAGGAAGACCAGGUGCUGUAGGUG
This 119-nucleotide ribosomal RNA is filed under the name Pteropus alecto (black flying fox). Lineage: Eukaryota; Metazoa; Chordata; Mammalia; Chiroptera; Pteropodidae. The record is from RNAcentral.